RNAcentral lists this transfer RNA (102 nucleotides) under Mycolicibacterium mageritense. Its description in RNAcentral is "tRNA-Ala". Lineage: Bacteria; Bacillati; Actinomycetota; Actinomycetes; Mycobacteriales; Mycobacteriaceae. The record is from RNAcentral.
GUGCCGAUGUCGCACGCCGACACCGGUGCUGUAACGCUGGCGGCGUUGCGCGACACAGGAGUGUCCGUGGAGCAGGUUUGUGCAAUGCCCGACGUCGACACG